AUGGCCAAUACCCGGUCAGGAGGGGCGAACAAUGAGGGAGCAGGGGACACCAACACCAGUGCAAGGGAAGGCAGCGCCGCCACCAAUGCAAAGCACCCCAAGUCCGCAACGACCUCCACCUCGUCUGUGCGUGAAACAGGCGAUGAGCCGAAGCCAAACCUGAGGAUGCUGAAUCGAGAAACAAAAGGAAAGGAUCCCAUUGUGAUGACCACCACCAGUUCUGCAGCUACACCGGUUUCGCAGACAUCUAUGAGGGGCAGGAGCAACCCCAGCACACCUGAUUCCCUGAAAUCGUCAGCAAUGAAGCUAAAAGGGUCGACGAGGAAGCCUAGUUCCCCCAAAACGUCUGACAGAGUAAAGAAAAGUACCAUUUCAGCUUCUGCUGCUUCAAAUGAUUCAACUGGAGUUUCUCCUGGUCAAGUGGCUGCUCUCGGCAAAACCGUGAAAAGGAAAAUUGAUGAACGUAAGUCAACCAAGAAUAAGCAUGAUGCUUCUGAGAGCGGUACCAGGCCACUGAAGCAGCAUAAAAGGCUAACUGUGGAAGACAAUGGCUCUGUUUUGAGGUUUGAAGAAAGUGGCGCGCACGAAGAAGAUAACCAGGCACAUUUAAGUCAAGUCGUCAAUGAAUUUUGUGAAGGCUGUACUUCUGGUCGGUGUGAAGCUCCCGAGUUGAUACUGGAGACAGAUGGGUCGAAAACUGAUGUUGAAAAAUCUGCUCCCAUUUCGGAGGCACAUAUGACUGCUGAUCUAUGCUCACAGAAUAUGGUGGCUGAAAGCAGUCCUGCAGUGGACGCUAGAGAGCCAACUGAUAACUGUUCAGAGUUCACACCUCAUGUUGCAAUGGCCCAGAAAGUGGACUCGUCAAAAUUUGUGGAGUACUGGGUUCCUGCUCGCCUUUCACGAGUGCAACUAGAAAUGUACUGUUAUACCUUGCUUUCAAACUCACUAGCGCUUCAAUCAAAUGAAAAAACUGACAGUGUUGGUGCUCUUCGCAACAUUCUUGUAUCCCUCCGGAAGUGCUGCGACCACCCUUAUCUAGUAGAUGAAACGCUGCUAGACUCACUUCCCAAGGGCCACCCAGUAACUGAUAUCCUGGAUAUUGAAGUUCGUGCAAGUGGCAAGCUACUGCUUCUUGAGAAAAUGCUCCGAUUAAUCAAGGAAAAAAGGCAGAGAGUUCUUAUCCUUUCCCAGUCUUGUGAUGGGGCUGGCAUUCCAAUGGGUGAUAUUCUGGGUGAUUUUCUCUGUGAAAGCUUUGGUCUUGAGUCAUAUGAGCGCGUGGAGCAUGGUUUCUCUGUACCAAAGAAACAGGGUGCAAUGAGUAUGUUCAAUGACACGACUAAGGGCCGGUUUAUUUUCUUGAUUGAUAGUCGUGCAUGUGUCCCAAGCAUUAAACUGUCAUCAGUUGAUGUCAUCAUCAUAUAUUCUAGUGAUUGGAAUCCCACAAAUGACUUGAGAGCCCUCCAGAAGAUCAGCAUAGAGUCACAAUCUGAAUGUGUGCCCAUUUUUCGUUUGUAUUCGUCUUGUACAGUGGAGGAAAAGGCUCUUAUACUUGCAAAGCAUGAUCAUACUCUUGAUACCAGUGUCCAGAAUAUAAUGCCUAUCCUGAGCCAUUGUAUGCUUAGUUGGGGUGCAUCAUUUCUCUUCAGUAGACUUGAAAGGCUAGAAAACGAUGCAUAUUCAUGGAUAAAGUACUUUCAGAGUUCUCAACGAAGUUAUCCACUGAAGAUGAUACCAGCACUAAGACGAGCAAUGCAGCCGUAUCACAAGCUCAUCUGA
This 1776-nucleotide ribosomal RNA is filed under the name Triticum aestivum (bread wheat). RNAcentral describes it as "partial small subunit ribosomal RNA". The record is from RNAcentral. Lineage: Eukaryota; Viridiplantae; Streptophyta; Magnoliopsida; Poales; Poaceae.